UAUAUAGGGCUGGGACCCACAAUGUGGGGCUGGGACCCACAAGUGUGGGUCUGAGCCCCCCAAGUGUGGGGCUGAGACCCCUAAGUGUGGGGCUGGGACCCCCAAGUGUGGGGCUGAGACCCUCAUAUGUGGGGCUGAGACCCCCAAGUGUGCGGCUGGGACCCACAAGUGUGGGUCUGAGCCCCCCAAGUAUGAAGCUGAGCCCCCCAAGUGUGGGGCUGAGAUCCCCAAGUGUGGGGCUGAGACCCCUAAGUGUGGGGCUGGGAACCCCAUGUGUGGGGCUGAGACCCCCAAGUGUGGGGUCGGAUCCCUAUAUGUGGCACUGGGACCCACAAGUGUGAGGCUGGGACCCCCAUAUGUGGGGCUGGGACCCACAAGUGUGGGUCUGAGCCCCCAAUGUGGGGCUGGGACCCCCAAGUGUGGGGCUGGGACUUCUAAGUGUGGGUCUGAGCCCCCCAAGUAUAAAGCUGAGCCCCCCAAGUGUGGGGCCAAGACCACCAUAUGUGGGACUGGAAACCCUAUGUGUGGGGCUGGGACCCCCAUAUGUGGGGCUGAGACCCCCAAGUGUGGGGCUGGGACCCCCAAGUGUGGGGCUGACCCCCAACCCCCCCCCCUUUC
Tympanuchus pallidicinctus (lesser prairie-chicken) is the source of this 618-nucleotide long non-coding RNA. RefSeq lists it as uncharacterized. The transcript is spliced from 3 exons. NCBI's taxonomy places the organism in Eukaryota, Metazoa, Chordata, Aves, Galliformes, Phasianidae. The record is from RefSeq and is a predicted model, not a curated record.